Long non-coding RNA from Diabrotica virgifera virgifera (western corn rootworm), 589 nucleotides. RefSeq lists it as uncharacterized. The transcript has 3 exons. NCBI's taxonomy places the organism in Eukaryota, Metazoa, Arthropoda, Insecta, Coleoptera, Chrysomelidae. The record is from RefSeq and is a predicted model, not a curated record.
CUUGCCUUGCCGUGGAUUGUUUUUAGUUGUUUGUAUUAUUUGUGCUUUUUAAGAAUAUUUUUUUAAUUCGGAUACUUUUAUAAUAGCUUUAAUAGUAUUAUUAACAUAGUGCAUAAAAUGGUGUCCUGUUUUUAACGCAGUUGGAGUAGCAGAAACAAAUGUAGAUAAAAAAAUCUGCAGGAAUAACGUUUCAAUUAUGACAGAAGCUCAAAACAAAUGACUGUGAAUGAAAAGCCCUAUUAAAAGCUUUCCAGAAGAUCCUGCGAAGAAGACAUGAAGUAUAGAUCAGAUUUGUUAAUAGAGGAGUAUGUUCAAAACACUUUUUAGAAAAAGAUAUUGACAGAACUUCACUUUCAUCUGUUCGUUUGAGAGACUGUGCUGUUCCAAUAGCUUAUGUCACACAGAAUCAGCUGAGAGAAGUGGUCUACAAAAAACCAGAAAGGAAACGGAAUAUGUGGCUACGAAAAGCAAAAGAAAGGUUUACAAAGCAAAUGUGACACAUUUUUUUAUAAUAUUUAGGAAUGUCAGCAAAUUACAUUAAAAAAUGUAUGUAAAGAUUUUUUGCAAUAAAAAUGUUUAUAUUUAUCAA